RNAcentral lists this ribosomal RNA (253 nucleotides) under uncultured bacterium. RNAcentral's name for it is "partial 16S ribosomal RNA". It matches the Rfam family "Bacterial small subunit ribosomal RNA", at positions 524 to 776 of the family's 1533-position model. The record is from RNAcentral.
UACGAAGGGGGCUAGCGUUGCUCGGAAUCACUGGGCGUAAAGCGCACGUAGGCGGAUUGCUAAGUCAGGGGUGAAAUCCUGGAGCUCAACUCCAGAACUGCCUUUGAUACUGGCGAUCUCGAGUCCGGGAGAGGUGAGUGGAACUGCGAGUGUAGAGGUGAAAUUCGUAGAUAUUAGGAAGAACACCAGUGGCGAAGGCGGCUCACUGGCCCGGUACUGACGCUGAGGCGCGAAAGCGUGGGGAGCAAACAGG